ACUGUUCUUUUAUAAAUAUGGAUUAAAAAAAUCACACAAAAAACAAAACUUUCUUACAAAAAGUAAGUCAUACAUAAACUUCUGAGUAUAAAAACUUUAUUAUUACAUAAAACUAAGAUGCUUAUUUUUUUAUUGAAACAAAGCUGAGCCCAUCAUAAAAUCCCAAGGUCUGUUAUGCCCAUAUGCACUUUGUCUUGGUUAGGACUUGGCGCCAACUUGUCUUACUCAUCGUUAUCUGCAAUGUAAGGACUUUAUGAGCUAAUGUCCAGUAAGCAGUAAGAUCUUUGAUGCAUGUAUAAAUUAUGAUGCAUAUGGAUGAUCAUAUUAAGCUUUUAAAAGAAACUUAGAAAAUACAAAACAACUUCAUUAGGGUCCUCCUUAGAAACUUUGCCACUUGGUAGUACAACCACCUAUUUUUCUUAAAUUCAUUUUCUAAAACAUAUUUUUCAUAAUCUAAUCCAUGAUAUACAUGUAUCCAAUGCAACUUAUGUCAUAAUAUUUGAAGUUCCUAGAUGCAUAACAGAAUCAACACACUAAACUAUUUAAGAAUAAGGUUCUUUAAUACAGGCGGCAGAGCCGACCAUAGCAUAAUUAAGUAUAAGUAUCACAGAUUAGGCGGUAGAGCCAACCAUAAUAUAACUACGUAUCAUCAAUUAGGCGGCAGAGCCGACCGUAACAUAAUUAAGUAUCAUAGCUUAGGCAGCAGAGCCGACAAUAACGUAACUAAGUAUCAUAGAUUAGGCGACAGAGCCGACCAUAACGUAAUUGAAUAUCAUAGCUUAAGCGGCAGAGCCAACCAUAACGUAACUAAGUAUCAUAGAUUAGGCGGCAGAGCCGACCAUAUAAGAAUUUAGAUUAUAAUUAAUCACAUCAUAAUAGCCAUCACAAUAUAAAAGAAUAGUUAAAACUUAAGUUAAAUAUGAAAAGAAUUUUCUCCUUACAUUACAGUUGAAGUGUUACUUACCUCUUGAUCUUGACUUCUCUAGACCUUUCUAAGUAAGGAUUUCUCUACUCUUGUUAUUAUGACUUAGAAUAGAAGAGCGCGAAAUUUCUAGGUUGCAUU
Molecule: long non-coding RNA, 1063 nt
Filed under: Citrus sinensis (sweet orange)
Lineage: Eukaryota; Viridiplantae; Streptophyta; Magnoliopsida; Sapindales; Rutaceae
Description: long non-coding RNA (CSIN_LNC003353)
Source: RNAcentral